GUAGGUGAACCUGCGGAAGGAUCAUUAAAGAGUUAGGGUCCUAGUGGCCCAACCUCCAACCCUCUGUUGUUAAAACUACCUUGUUGCUUUGGCGGGACCGUUCGGUCUCCGAGCGCGUUAACCUCCGGGUUGGCGAGCGCCCGCCAGAGUCCAACCAAACUCUUGUAUUAAACCAGUCGUCUGAGUAUAAAAUUUUAAUUAAAUUAAAACUUUCAACAACGGAUCUCUUGGUUCUC
Molecule: unclassified non-coding RNA, 236 nt
Filed under: rhizosphere metagenome
Description: partial ribosomal RNA internal transcribed spacer region
Source: RNAcentral